AGGUGCAGCUGUAUAUGCAGG
RNAcentral lists this microRNA (21 nucleotides) under Citrus sinensis (sweet orange). Its description in RNAcentral is "csi-miR530a-3p". Its record names the gene csi-miR530a-3p. Lineage: Eukaryota; Viridiplantae; Streptophyta; Magnoliopsida; Sapindales; Rutaceae. The record is from miRBase by way of RNAcentral.